AUGGGAAGGAGUUUGAGUGUCCAUGCCUCACCGGGAAAUAGACCCUGAUUUCACAGCCUCUUCAAAGGCACUACUUUGCAAAGAUGCUGCUCCAAGGACCCCUUAAUCCAUGAUCCCCCAAGCCAGCACCCUACUUACUGCUUCACCUGCUAGCAUCAGUCUCUGUAGGCAUGCCCAGCUGAACUGUGGGUGGUUAGAUGACCUGCUCAUCAGCUUCUUUACUCCUGGACUCCCAUAGUCUCUCAUUUCAGAUUCUGUAGGAAAUGUCCACUAUAUUAUGUUAUUUUUAUUUGGUUUUUGUUUUGUUUUGAGUCUAUAUAGCUUUCUGACUGUCCUGGAACUGUCUCUGUAGACUAGGCUGGCCUCAGAUUCACAGAGAUCUGCCUGCCUCUACCUCCCCAGUGCUGGGAUUAAAGGUCCCACCAUGCCCAGCUUUUGCUUUGUUUCUGGUUGUGAUAGAGAAGGGACCCAGGGUCCAUUCUUGUUAUCCAUCAACUGUAUUCUUAAGUUCCUAGUCUGUUCCCAACCCCAGCAGGUCAUUUCAGCAGGUCUUAGCACAUGUUUUUGUUCGGUUUGCUUGUGUAUUUGAGUCAGGGUCUCAAAGGUAGCCCAGAAUGACCUUGAACUCAUGGUGCCUCGGCUUCCGGUGAGCUGAGAUUAUAUACCCAGCUUUGUGCAAUGUUUUUUAGAAAGUGAAAUGAAUUUAAAUAUCAGGGAACGAAUAUA
Cricetulus griseus (Chinese hamster) is the source of this 726-nucleotide non-coding RNA. The record is from RefSeq and is a predicted model, not a curated record. NCBI's taxonomy places the organism in Eukaryota, Metazoa, Chordata, Mammalia, Rodentia, Cricetidae.